UACACUUGAAGAGGAGGAUUCAGUAUCAAACUUUAUAACCCAGAUAUUGGUAACAUCAGUUUGUUAGUAUCAUGUUUCACUGAAAGAAAGAUGCACAUGUCGACUGAAAAAAAUUUUACAGCAUGAGAAUGCCUUGUAUACCGUAUCUUCAAAGGCAAUCGUCUCCGAGUUCCUGCUACCGUUAACAAAGUACUGCAAACGGGGUGGCUCAAGAGAAAUAUAUCGUCUUACAGUUCCGGAGUGCACCCAAGGAUACUUGGGAUGCGCUCUCCUGCCGAUGAGGCCUUGAGUGAUAUGGCUCUUCUCCUGUCACCUGCCGGUUGGACCAACUCUCUCCUUCAUCCAUCAGGGUUGCUGUCUUCUGGCUCAUCAAAACAGACGGCUCCUCCUGCCUCAGGGCCAUUGCUCCUGUCUUCCUCCUGCCUGAAUCAGAGAGCCGAAGCAGCGUGCCAGACCUCUGGUGGCGCAGUGGUUAAGAAUCCGCCUGCCAAUGCCGGGGACACGGGUUCCAGCCCUGGUCCAGGAAGAUCCCACAUGCCUCUGAGCAAC
This is a long non-coding RNA of Aethalodelphis obliquidens (Pacific white-sided dolphin), 549 nucleotides long. RefSeq lists it as uncharacterized. The transcript has 3 exons. The record is from RefSeq and is a predicted model, not a curated record. NCBI's taxonomy places the organism in Eukaryota, Metazoa, Chordata, Mammalia, Artiodactyla, Delphinidae.